GAUGAACGCUGGCGGCGUGCCUAAUACAUGCAAGUCGAGCGAACGGACGAGAAGCUUGCUUCUCUGAUGUUAGCGGCGGACGGGUGAGUAACACGUGGAUAACCUACCUAUAAGACUGGGAUAACUUCGGGAAACCGGAGCUAAUACCGGAUAAUAUUUUGAACCGCAUGGUUCAAAAGUGAAAGACGGUCUUGCUGUCACUUAUAGAUGGAUCCGCGCUGCAUAGCUAGUUGGUAAGGUAACGGCUUACCAAGGCAACGAUGCAUAGCCGACCUGAGAGGGUGAUCGGCCACACUGGAACGGAGACACGGUCCAGACGCCUACGGGAGGCAGCAGUAGGGAAUCUUCCGCAAUGGGCGAAAGCCUGACGGAGCAACGCCGCGUGAGUGAUGAAGGUCUUCGGAUCGUAAAACUCUGUUAUUAGGGAAGAACAUAUGUGUAAGUAACUGUGCACAUCUUGACGGUACCUAAUCAGAAAGCCACGGCUAACUACGUG
RNAcentral lists this ribosomal RNA (496 nucleotides) under uncultured bacterium. RNAcentral describes it as "partial 16S ribosomal RNA". It matches the Rfam family "Bacterial small subunit ribosomal RNA", at positions 28 to 507 of the family's 1533-position model. The record is from RNAcentral.